UUGAUCCUGGCUCAGGACGAACGCUGGCGGCGUGCCUAAUACAUGCAAGUCGAGCGAACCACUUCGGUGGUUAGCGGCGGACGGGUGAGUAACACGUGGGCAACCUGCCUGUAAGACUGGGAUAACUUCGGGAAACCGGAGCUAAUACCGGAUAAUCCUUUUCCUCUCAUGAGGRAAAGCUGAAAGACGGUUUCGGCUGUCACUUACAGAUGGGCCCGCGGCGCAUUAGCUAGUUGGUGAGGUAACGGCUCACCAAGGCGACGAUGCGUAGCCGACCUGAGAGGGUGAUCGGCCACACUGGGACUGAGACACGGCCCAGACUCCUACGGGAGGCAGCAGUAGGGAAUCUUCCACAAUGGACGAAAGUCUGAUGGAGCAACGCCGCGUGAGCGAUGAAGGCCUUCGGGUCGUAAAGCUCUG
This 420-nucleotide ribosomal RNA is filed under the name Bacillus sp. R-32784. Its description in RNAcentral is "bacterial SSU rRNA". It matches the Rfam family "Bacterial small subunit ribosomal RNA", at positions 13 to 435 of the family's 1533-position model. The record is from RNAcentral. Lineage: Bacteria; Bacillati; Bacillota; Bacilli; Caryophanales; Bacillaceae.